UCCUUGGAGGACUAGUGGUUAGGCCACGGCACUCUCACCACUGUGACCUGGGUUUGAACCCCAGUCAGGGAA
Pangasius djambal is the source of this 72-nucleotide non-coding RNA. The record is from the annotation of a GenBank genome assembly. NCBI's taxonomy places the organism in Eukaryota, Metazoa, Chordata, Actinopteri, Siluriformes, Pangasiidae.